Molecule: transfer RNA, 64 nt
Filed under: Ochrogaster lunifer (bag-shelter moth)
Lineage: Eukaryota; Metazoa; Arthropoda; Insecta; Lepidoptera; Notodontidae
Description: transfer RNA-Thr
Rfam family: tRNA
About the family: Transfer RNA (tRNA) molecules are approximately 80 nucleotides in length. Their secondary structure includes four short double-helical elements and three loops (D, anti-codon, and T loops).
Source: RNAcentral
GUUUUUAUAAUUUAAUAAAAAUAUUGGUCUUGUAAAUCAAAAAUAAGUACAAACUUUAAAAACU